RNAcentral lists this ribosomal RNA (174 nucleotides) under uncultured bacterium. RNAcentral's name for it is "partial 16S ribosomal RNA". It matches the Rfam family "Bacterial small subunit ribosomal RNA", at positions 338 to 524 of the family's 1533-position model. The record is from RNAcentral.
CCUACGGGAGGCAGCAGUGGGGAAUAUUGCACAAUGGGCGAAAGCCUGAUGCAGCGACGCCGCGUGAGGGAUGACGGCCUUCGGGUUGUAAACCUCUUUCAGCAGGGACGAAGUGCAAGUGACGGUACCUGCAGAAGAAGCACCGGCUAACUACGUGCCAGCAGCCGCGGUAAU